RNAcentral lists this ribosomal RNA (740 nucleotides) under uncultured archaeon. RNAcentral describes it as "bacterial SSU rRNA". It matches the Rfam family "Archaeal small subunit ribosomal RNA", at positions 1 to 750 of the family's 1478-position model. The record is from RNAcentral.
UUCCGGUUGAUCCUGCCGGACCCGACUGCUAUCAGAGUGGGACUAAGCCAUGCGAGUCAACAUAGCAAUAUGUGGCAUACGGCUCAGUAACACGUAGUCAACAUGCCCAGGGGACGUGGAUAACCUCGGGAAACUGAGGAUAAACCGCGAUAAGUCACUACUUCUGGAAUGGGUAAUGACUCAAACCUAUAUGGCCCCUGGAUUGGACUGCGGCCGAUCAGGCUGUUGGUGAGGUAAUGGCCCACCAAACCUGUAACCGGUACGGGCUCUGAGAGGAGGAGCCCGGAGAUGGGCACUGAGACAAGGGCCCAGGCCCUAUGGGGCGCAGCAGGCGCGAAACCUCUGCAAUAGGCGAAAGCCUGACAGGGUUACUCUGAGUGAUUUCCGUUAAGGAGAUCUUUUGGCACCUCUAAAAAUGGUGCAGAAUAAGGGGUGGGCAAGUCUGGUGUCAGCCGCCGCGGUAAUACCAGCACCCCGAGUGGUCGGGACGAUUAUUGGGCCUAAAGCAUCCGUAGCCGGUUCUGCAAGUCUUCCGUUAAAUCCAGCCGCUCAACGGAUGGGCCGCGGAGGAUACUACAGGACUAGGAGGCGGGAGAGGCAAGCGGUACUCAGUGGGUAGGGGUAAAAUCCUUUGAUCCAUUGAAGACCACCAGUGGCGAAGGCGGCUUGCCAGAACGCGCUCGACGGUGAGGGAUGAAAGCUGGGGGAGCAAACCGGAUUAGAUACCCGGGUAGUCCCAG